Microcebus murinus (gray mouse lemur) is the source of this 116-nucleotide non-coding RNA. NCBI's taxonomy places the organism in Eukaryota, Metazoa, Chordata, Mammalia, Primates, Cheirogaleidae. The record is from RefSeq and is a predicted model, not a curated record.
AAAAAGGAAGUACAGGAAGUUUCUGCCUCUUACAAUGGAGUUGAUGGAUGCUUGAGCUCCACAUUGGAACAUCAGGUGACUUCUCACCACCAGUCCUCAAAUAAAAACAAGAAAGU